This 490-nucleotide ribosomal RNA is filed under the name uncultured bacterium. Its description in RNAcentral is "partial 16S ribosomal RNA". It matches the Rfam family "Bacterial small subunit ribosomal RNA", at positions 30 to 507 of the family's 1533-position model. The record is from RNAcentral.
AUUGAACGCUGGCGGCAUGCCUUACACAUGCAAGUCGAACGGCAGCAUGAUCUCGCUUGCUAGAUUGAUGGCGAGUGGCGAACGGGUGAGUAAUACAUCGGAACGUGCCCUGUAGUGGGGGAUAACUAGUCGAAAGAUUAGCUAAUACCGCAUACGACCUGAGGGUGAAAGUGGGGGACCGCAAGGCCUCAUGCUAUAGGAGCGGCCGAUGUCUGAUUAGCUAGUUGGUGAGGUAAAGGCUCACCAAGGCGACGAUCAGUAGCUGGUCUGAGAGGACGAUCAGCCACACUGGGACUGAGACACGGCCCAGACUCCUACGGGAGGCAGCAGUGGGGAAUUUUGGACAAAGGGCGAAAGCCUGAUCCAGCAAUGCCGCGUGUGUGAAGAAGGCCUUCGGGUUGUAAAGCACUUUUGUCCGGAAAGAAAUGGCUCUGGUUAAUACCUGGGGUCGAUGACGGUACCGGAAGAAUAAGGACCGGCUAACUACGUG